AUUUUAAGAUUCAUUCUAAUUGUUGAGACCAGUUAUGUGCCAGACACUAAAAUAAAUGAAGUUCUAGGGUGUUUUCCCCCCAUCCUUUUUGGCCCACAGUUUUGACUAGAUAUAACAGGAGAUAACACACACAGCCCACAGACCAUAAAUUUUAUUGGAACACAGCUACUUUAUUCAUUUAUGUAUUGUCUGUGGCUGCUUUUACACUGCAGUACAAAGUUGAGAGUUGCAACAAGACAAUAUAGCCUGCAAACCUAAAAUAUUUACUAUCUACGUCUUGAGAAGAAAGUUUGUCAAUGUCUGAUAUAAAACAUUAACAUGUUUCUUAAAGUGAAAACUAUACAAAAAGGUAUAAUCUGAAAAAUGUCAUAUUCUUUGAUAUUUCUUCUAUCCCAUUUUCCACCCCAUCCCUUGUUUUUUGGUUUAUUCUUUCCUGUGUUUCUUUUUAUAAAAAUAAGCAGGCAUACAUGUUUUAUUUCGCCUUUUUCUUAUACAAAAGGUAGCACACUAUGUGUGCUCUUUUAUGCUUUGCUUUUUUUCAUUUAACACUACCUUCUGGAAGUCACUCUGUAUCAAUUUAAGAGAUAUUUCUCAUUAUUACAGCUACAUAGUUCUGUAUUAUGUAUAUAUACUACAGUCUGUUCAACUAGUCUUCUAUGAUUGGACAUCUAGGUAAUUUCCAGUAUUUUGCAAUUUCAAAUAUUACCACAAUAAAUGUGUGUGUGUAUGUAUGUGUGUAUGUGUGUGUAUGCUCAUAUAAAUGAAAUUGUGUUUUCAAGAUAAAUACCUAGAAGUGAGAAUGCUGGGUCAAAGGCUAAAUGUGUGUGUGUAUUUAUGUGUGUGUUAGAUAUUGCCAAAUUCCCAUCCAUAAGGUUUGUACCAUUUUUCAUUCCCACCAGCAAUUUCUCCAUGAAGGUUGCUGUCCAAAUUUUGCCAAGUAAUGACAUUAAAAUAUUCUUCUCAUCUAUUAUCACCAUCAUUUAAAAAAGAAUUUCUCCCAUUUUUAUAAGGGAGAAAGGACAAAUCAGAAAAAAAGGAUAGGAAGAGUCCUUUAAAUUGUGUAAAUAUAGUUCUUAUUGUGAUUAUUUUUCUCUUGUUGUUGAAGACAAAUGCAUCUCUACCCUGUAUCAGAUGAAUCUUUACUUGAUCAUGUCUCUCCUACCUUGAAAUUCUUCAAGGCUUUCCACAACUCAGCACUUAACAUGGUCUUAACAUGGCCUAUAAGAAUAUAUAAGAUGUCAGCCCUGUAUCUCCAGCCAUUCUGAAUGUUUUAAUCCUUUUAGUAUCCAAGUUCUCUCCCACAGGGUCUUUGCCUGUGGUGCUCUCCUUGCCACCAUUAAAUAACUAGACAAG
This is a long non-coding RNA of Sapajus apella (tufted capuchin), 1353 nucleotides long. RefSeq lists it as uncharacterized. The transcript is spliced from 2 exons. NCBI's taxonomy places the organism in Eukaryota, Metazoa, Chordata, Mammalia, Primates, Cebidae. The record is from RefSeq and is a predicted model, not a curated record.